This 205-nucleotide unclassified non-coding RNA is filed under the name soil metagenome. RNAcentral describes it as "partial internal transcribed spacer 1". The record is from RNAcentral.
CAGAGUUGCAAACUCCCUAAACCAUUAUGAACGUUACCUAAACCGUUGCUCUUCGGCGGGCGGCCCCGGGGGUUCUCUCCCCGGGCGCCCCUGGGCCCCAUCGCGGGCGCCCGCCGGAGGUCUCCAAACUCUUGAUACUUUACUUGGCCUCUCUGUCUUCUGUACUGAAUAGUCAAAACUUCAUAGUACAUUCACAUCAGUCACA